Molecule: long non-coding RNA, 490 nt
Filed under: Nicotiana tabacum (common tobacco)
Lineage: Eukaryota; Viridiplantae; Streptophyta; Magnoliopsida; Solanales; Solanaceae
Description: long non-coding RNA (NTAB_LNC017102)
Source: RNAcentral
CUCUUCUCCCACAAACACACGUUCCAUACACUUCCAAUUUCCAAAACCCUCCUCCGCCAUUAUCGCCCCAAAGGCUAUUCUUCUUCGCAAGCUUAACAAUAUUUUGGAAAUUUUCUCCCCGUAGGUAAUUCUUCUUCGCAAAGGGUUUCUUUUUCAUUAGUUUGUUUCUAUAAGUUUUUUUAGCGAAUUUACACAAUUUUCUAAUAUAUCUUCCAUUUGUAUUGUUAAUCACCAGGAUUCUUUGAGUUUUCUCUCUAAUGUCGGAUGCAACGCCACUCAACAGACUACCCAGAGGUAUACCCACCAAAAUUCUCUAUUUUGAUGGGCCCUCUUUCUCGUUGCAACUGACUCAAGCGGAGAAAGAUUUUGCAGGUUUAUCAGCAUCCAAAGUUGAUGAAAGAAGAAGUAAAAUACACAAAGACAAGUUGAAAGAAGUCCAAGUUGAUGAAGCUUCAAAAGAAACCAAAAAUCAAGUUGGCUCAAAGAGGAA